This 228-nucleotide ribosomal RNA is filed under the name uncultured bacterium. RNAcentral's name for it is "partial 16S ribosomal RNA". It matches the Rfam family "Bacterial small subunit ribosomal RNA", at positions 568 to 795 of the family's 1533-position model. The record is from RNAcentral.
UGCGUAGGCGGGGCAAUUAGUCAGUGGUGAAAUCCUGCGGCUUAACCGUAGAACUGCCAUUGAUACUGUUGCCCUUGAGUAUAGUUGAAGUGGGCGGAAUGUGUAAUGUAGCGGUGAAAUGCAUAGAGAUUACACAGAACACCAAUUGCGAAGGCAGCUCACUAAGCUAUAACUGACGCUGAGGCACGAAAGCGUGGGGAGCGAACAGGAUUAGAUACCCUGGUAGUC